UACGAAGGGGGCUAGCGUUGUUCGGAAUUACUGGGCGUAAAGCGCACGUAGGCGGAUUGUUAAGUCGGGGGUGAAAUCCCAGGGCUCAACCCUGGAACUGCCUCCGAUACUGGCAUUCUUGAGUCCGAGAGAGGUGAGUGGAAUUCCGAGUGUAGAGGUGAAAUUCGUAGAUAUUCGGAAGAACACCAGUGGCGAAGGCGGCUCACUGGCUCGGUACUGACGCUGAGGUGCGAAAGCGUGGGGAGCAAACAGG
Molecule: ribosomal RNA, 253 nt
Filed under: uncultured bacterium
Lineage: Bacteria
Also listed under: 1 other name
Description: partial 16S ribosomal RNA
Rfam family: Bacterial small subunit ribosomal RNA
Source: RNAcentral